RNAcentral lists this unclassified non-coding RNA (229 nucleotides) under Glomeraceae sp. RNAcentral's name for it is "partial contains 5.8S ribosomal RNA and internal transcribed spacer 2". The stretch from base 1 to 71 matches the Rfam family "5.8S ribosomal RNA", at positions 84 to 154 of the family's 154-position model. Lineage: Eukaryota; Fungi; Glomeromycota; Glomeromycetes; Glomerales; Glomeraceae. The record is from RNAcentral.
GUGAAUCAUCGAAUUUUUGAACGCAAAUUGCACUUUCUGGUAUUCCGGAAAGUAUGUCUGUUUGAGGGUUAGUUAAAUAAAAAUCGGUGUUGUUGUUGCUUUUCGUGGUGACGCGUCGGAAUUGAGUUGUCUUACUUUUGGUUAAGUGACUUAAAAUUUUGUAUGAUUUUUGAACGUAUUUAAAUUUCUUACGUACGUUUGAGAUAUCGUAUAUGUUAUUAGGUUUGUU